Molecule: long non-coding RNA, 363 nt
Organism: Homo sapiens (human)
Lineage: Eukaryota; Metazoa; Chordata; Mammalia; Primates; Hominidae
Source: Ensembl
CAGUUCAACCCCCUUAGACCCAUCCCUUCUCUCUCUGUUUCUCCUUUGACUUCGAAGUUAACAAAAACAUUUAAUCGCAUUCUAAAUGCAAAAGCCCCAUGCAAACACUUGGAAUUGGGAAAAGAGGAGAAUACAACAGUUUCUGCCCUCAAGGAACAUAAAGACAGAGUCACAGAGACCUUGAAGAAUGGAGGAGGUAGAAAAAGGAGAAAUGCAGGAAGGAGGUGUGUUAUGGAGUUAUCCAGUGGAGGCUCGCAUCCAGCUUUAUUUUGCCUCCAAAGAUCUUGCAUCCUACCUGUUAAGAAGCUUGGAAUGCCACUAUUCCAUUAAAUCUUAAAGGAACUUGAGUCUUUCAUUUAAAAA